This 349-nucleotide unclassified non-coding RNA is filed under the name soil metagenome. RNAcentral describes it as "partial contains 5.8S ribosomal RNA, internal transcribed spacer 2, and large subunit ribosomal RNA". The stretch from base 1 to 120 matches the Rfam family "5.8S ribosomal RNA", at positions 35 to 154 of the family's 154-position model. The record is from RNAcentral.
GAUGAAGAACGUAGCGAAAUGCGAUAAGUAAUGUGAAUUGCAGAAUUCAGUGAAUCAUCGAAUCUUUGAACGCACAUUGCGCCCCCUGGUAUUCCGGGGGGCAUGCCUGUUCGAGCGUCAUUUCAACUCUCAAGCUCUGCUUGGUAUUGGGCGUCGCCGGGGAGUCUCCCCGGCGUGCCUCAAAGCCAUCGGCGGUGGUGCCUUUCUCUAAGCGUGGUAGAAUUUUUAUUCGCUUCUGAGUUGGGCUUCGCCUGCCGGACAAACCGGGCCCUCGCGGCCCACCUUCUCAGGUUGACCUCGGAUCAGGUAGGGAUACCCGCUGAACUUAAGCAUAUCAAUAAGCGGAGGA